CGCUGCCCUCAGGCGGCCCCGCCGCCCCCCCGGUGGGUGCUGAAGGUGUUUAAGGUUGAUCUGUAGCGACCGACGGCAUUCGGGGGCCGGGGCGUCCCUUGGAAGUGGCGGUCGCUGCCGCUUCCGUGUGCAGAUGGAAGAAACAACAGUACUGUGACCAUCAUGCAGGAACACCCUCAACUGUUCUGGUACCAGAAAAAAAGCCCACAAGUGAAGCUUCAGGAUUGAAAGGCACGUACCUUGUGACUGGCAACCCAAAGAAUCAGUAUUCUCUGUGCCUAAGGAUGGCAGCCCAGCUUCCAGUUACACCAAAAGUGGGACUAAAGCAGUUUUCACUGAAGGCACGGGAGCCGCCAGGAGGGGGCCGUGGCAGCCAAAUCCCUCACGCUCAGCAUUAGCAAAGUGCUCUUUCCCAAGCCAAAGGACACGAGCAAGCCCUGUACCCAUACAGCCGCUGGUGAGUUUCUUACAUUCUGAUGAGUUUUGUCUCCCGCGGGACCUUCCAGACCGUCACUAGGAGGUGAACGCUCUCGUUCUCGUUGAGGAGCAGAGCGUCUCCCUUGGCCUUGCUCCUGGCGAAAGCCAGGAGAGCCUCCACCGCCUUCUUCACCUGCAACGGCACCAGCCGUGGUUAAACCCCAGCCCGGCCCCGCUCCAGGUGCUCCCCCCCGGCUCCCCGCGGUACCUGGGCGCUCUCCAGGUGCUCCCCCCCGGCUCCCCGCGGUACCUGGGCGCUCUCCAGCCGCUCUCUCCGUCCCGCCAUGGUCCCGCCGGUGCCACGUGCGGCCGCGGCGCCUGCGCGGGCUCCUCUUUCCGGGUCACGGCGGGGCCCGGCCGGGAAGGGGCGGUGCGGGGGGGCGGGUCCCGCGGCUCCUGCUGGUCCGGGUCCGGGGGUGUUCUCCGGGAGCAGCGUUCCCGUCCUCGGAGGCAGCUUUAUCCCAGAAAGGUGACGGGCUAAUCGAGUUUGGAGCAGAGCUCCGGAGGCCGUCAGUGCGUCCCGCUCCGGCAGCAGCGCCAGCCGGAGGUCAGGCGGGGAUGCUCAGGGCUGUGUCCAGCCCGGGCUUCCCAGCUCCAGGGAUGGAGGCUGUGCCAAUGCCCGAGUGUCCCAGUGCUCCAUUUGUUACUGGCCUUCGGGUAGAGGACAAGCCAUUAUCUCUAUCCUCAGAUUUUUAUUGUCCAAAGAAUUGUUACCCAUGUCUUUAGAUUCCUUCUUUGAAGCCUAUCCCUGAUUUUAUCUCCUGUAUUACUGUCCUUUUGCACUGGAGUGCUGUUGUAAGUUCCCUGUUUUCCUGAGUAUCAGGAGGAACCGUUUUUAUGAUUGGAGAAGGAUGUCCUUAAAGAACUGCUGCCAGCUCCCCUGAGCAACUUUCAGAGCUGCCUCCCAUGGGAUCUUGCCUGCUGGUUCUCUGAAUAAACUCAUGUAUGUCUCAUGGAGUCCAGGGCCUGCCUUCUGCUCCUCAUCUUCCUCACACUCUGUGUCUUGAACUCUGCUAUUUCCAGGUCACUGCCAUUGAGGCAGCCACUGAUUAUCACAUGCUAAACCAUUUCUUCCUCAUGUGUGACUAAUAAAGGCACAACUGCUGCGUCUGCUGUUCAGUUUGGGAAUGCACUGACUGACUACAUGGAAGUAGCUUAAUUUUAGGAUGGUUAUCCCAUUGAGUUCCAUGCUGGAUAAAUACAUUGUUCUGAGAUAAAAUCUGGCCUGGAAUUAUUUUGCCCUCAUUCCCACAGUGCUGUGUGUGCCUUGGCAGCUUUGCCUUGUCUGCAUUCAUCACACAGGUAAGCUGCUACCUGGGUAACACAGCUGUGCAUCACCAGGGUUUAAAUAUGCAUGUAAUUAGGAGUCUGAGUCAUUCACUCAUCUCUAGAUCUUUUCUUGCCCUUUGCCUUUCUAUUUAUGGUUUUAUUCUUUCUCAUCAGAUGUCUUCCAACAAAAUUUGUUGCUCCAUCGGUGUGCAAAGAGUGAGUACAAAGAGAAAGAAACUAAAAUACCCUCGUCUCAUGACAAACUGUUUCACGUAGUGGUUUAUAUUUUCAUUCUACUGUUAGUGUUUUUUAGAGCAACAGUGGAAUAGUUGAUGGCUUCAAGACAUAUCCAGACUUCUGAAAGAACUAUAUGGACAUAAACUGAUUUUAAAGAGUGGGGAAAAAAAAAUCCUCUUGUGAUAUUUGAACAAAAUAAACCAAACUGGCUAAGAAAAAGAAAAGCUAUCCUUUGCUGCCAUGUUGUUUGAAGUAUUGAUUAAAGAAAUUACUGAAGGUGAGGAACAGGCAGGGUAGCCAAAGAGGGCAGACUCAUUAAAAUCUUUUCAGUACUGGUAGAAUUUAGGCAUGUGGUGUUGUAUAUUCUGAUAACUGUAUUAGCCAUACUUCCUCUUUGCAUAUUUUAGAGCAGCCCUAUUUUAAUAAAACAUCAACAUACUAGUGUGACAUGUUAAAACAAAAUAGAAAAAGUCAGAUGACUGGAACAUCUCUCUGAAAAUAAGCCAGCCUAGUCUUGCAAGAUACGAUUGAACAGCAUGUUUGAAGCCCAACUGUACUGGGUCAGUAUAGCAUUAAUAGGAUAAAACUAAAGGGACUAUUAUUAGUAACUCAAAUUCAAAUUUUUCACGUCAGUCUCAUCCAAGUUCAUUUUUCUGAACAAUUUUAGGUCUGACAUGACUGAAUUUUACUAGAUGUGAUUUAACUGCUUUAGUAUAAUCAUUUUCUCUGGAAGGGUACUUGACAUAGCUAACAGACCUGUCUUGGAAAAAUUAAAUUAAUCUCUGGAUAAGAAAUAUUUCAGCUUAAUACAGCAUGCAAUGAAUAUAAACUAUAAGAGAGCGCACUUUUAAUUUAGCAAGUUCAUCAGUUUACAGUUACUCCUACAAGGAAAUUAGGUUUGAUGCUCUGAUCAGUGUUAUUGCUGUACAUUAUCCUGCUGUAGCUCUCAAUUUAACUUUUUGGACUAUGGAAGUAUGUAUAUUUCUUUAAGCCAUUUGUGCCACUUACUUAAAUGCUAAGAUUUAAAAUAAUUGCAAGCCAGUCUACCUCAUUACUUAUAUGUUUCUCUACAUGCCUGAUUUUAUACUUUCUCACAGCAAAAGGGAAGUACAAGUAGCAAUUGUUUCUGCUGUAAACAGAUCUUUGAGGUUUAAUAUUAUUCCAGUUCCAGGCUUAUGUUCCUCCAGAAUUUUUGAUGGCAGAUGUCAAAAUCCCAGGUCUCUGUUAAGUGUACCUCUUGCAACAAAACUACCACAAAGACUAUGCAGAGAGUAAAACAGGAGUAAGGAGUCCUUCAUAUGAGAGCCCAGAAGAGAAUCUCCCCCCUUCAUCCAGAGUUCAAGCACGGGUUUUCUUUGGGUGGUGUUCCUUUGCAGUCCCAGGAUCACCUCCAGCUGUAACCUGGCUGUCAGACACAGGGGUGCUUGUGGUGUGUUUCAGAACAGAGGCUCCUGUCACUGUGACAUGAGCUGCAAAGCUUUCCUCUUACAAUGCUUUGCCUAUCACCACUUCUAGAGGCUUAACAGGUGACAGGGACAUUGCCUCAAAUACCUUUUUGCCAUCCAACACUUCAUCUAUUAACUCUCUUAUUAUUACUUUUGUUCAGAAGGACGUGGAUUUUUCAGGGGUAUGUAACUGAGGUGAGAUGUAGAAAAAUCCAAUUUAUGUUGGAAGUUGAUACUUCUUAGGAAGGAAAGCCAAUGAAAGGAUAUGUUUUAUCAAAAGGUAUAUAUACACAGACAACAGGUUUUGGGUUUGUUAGCAUAAAUUUCCACUUUAUAUUAAGACUAGAAUCCUUUCUAGUAUUUCUUCAGAGGAAAAGUAGUAUCUUGUCAGGUUUAUAGUGCUUUAAAAUAAACACAAGGAAAGAAACAAGUUCACAAUAUAAAAUCUUCAGUAGUAACUCCAGUUUUGUUGGUAUAUUUUUCUGUAGCAAAUCCUCUGUAGGGUAUACAAAAACAGCAGAAUAAGUGAGAGCCUUUAAGUACCAGUUCAGGAAGAAAACAGUCUUGUCUGGAGUACAUUUCAUCUGCUUUAUCAACAUAAUUUAAACAGUCUGAGUUAAGAACCAAAAAGCCAGAGUAAUACAGAAUCAAAUACUUGGGACAUUGAAACAAUAUUUUUUUCCUUAGGUAAUAUUCAUUAAUAAACACUUAUAAAAACACAUUUCUCAUAAUGAACAUGAUUUUUAAUAUAUGGAGUGGUGCCAUAAGUAGUCUAAAACAGAGGUUGUUCACUGAGCACUUUUCCCUGGGCUUUUUAUGCCACUAAAAAAGAUCUGCAGAGGGGCAUUAAAGUCAUGAGCAGCAAAUAUCCCCAUGGAUAAACCUUAAAGCAGUCGUUUUUCUUACAACACUACUAUUACACCAUAGUCAAGAGCUUGCUCUUCAGGAACACAAUUUACUACCAGAGGAAGUGUCUCAGGAAUCCAGUGUCACCAUGUUUGUGGAUCAGUUCCUGAUUGUCUGCAAGAGAUGCCCAAGGAGGCUGGAAUGGUUUCAAGAAGACAGCUGAUGGCAAUGUCACCCAUUCCUCCAGUUAGUGUGUUUUACUUCUGGUCACUUGCAGAAACAAGUCAUUAUUUUCCUCUUGCCAAAUAAUUAGUACUGCUGCACAUUCAGAUUUUUUUGCUUUACAUUUAAUUUUUGUUACAUAUACCAAGGUUUUCAGUUCAAGGACUUACAAAGUCUUAAUUUAGAGAAUUAUAAUUUGUGUUUUUAUAAGUUACAUCGUGGCUAAACACUUAAGCCAUAUCUACACUACAAACUUUGGCCAACCAGCAGAGAGAAACAGGUGUGAUCCUCAUCACUACCACACUGCAAAUGCUGUUUUUCUGGGGAAAAUAACCCCCCAAAUCCCUCCUUUCUGCAGAAACACGCUCACAGUUUUGCUGGUAUGAGUUACAGCCAUGCCAGAACCCAGGAGUACUCUGCCAGUGUUAGAUGCAAGCACAGGUACCCUGGCAGUGCUCCUGGUGCUCCUGUAGCUUCAAUCCAACUUCUCUUUCCUUCCCCCCCCCUUCCUUUCAACUGUUGUGGUUGCACAGCUCCUUUAGUUUUAUCUUCAAAGCAGCAUACCACAUUUUCAAACAAGAAAGUAUUCAAAAUGGUCAUUUAAAAAAGUUUAUUACAUCAGUGAAUCAGCAAAUAGUAUUUAUUUCCAACAAAGCCACAUUAUCUUUUUUUUUCUUCUUUCAUCUAGAUUUAGCUUUACUUAAUAGUAGUAAAAAUGGGACUAUAAAAUGUAGAAUGGAGAUGAAAUGAAAAAGUUGAGAUGUGAUCUGAGGACUAUUCAAACACAAUGUUCUUUCAGCUCUUCUACCCAAAAUGCAGCCAAUUUGUGCAGAUUUAUGCCUUACAUUUUCAUAUCAGUGUAUUUGCUAUAGAAUGCAAAUAUUUUACACCCAAAUAAAAACUUCCUACAGGAUAGCAAUAUCUUUAAUUGCAUAAUGUGGAUUCUGUUAACAGACAAGGUGACAUUAACUGGAUUUAUGGAAAUGUAAUCAAAUGCACUAGAUGGGAUGAGUAAUGGAAAUACUCAGACUCUCUAUCUACUGAUAUUCCAACCCACCAGAUGACUAUUCAGUUUAAUAAUAAAUACUCAGUCCAGCCUCAUAAUAAUGAGGUUUUAGAAUCCCCCAUUAAGUUUGUUCAAAAGUGGAAAAAUUCUGCUGGAGCAUCAUGUAGCCUUCAGAUGCAUUUCAAUGCCUUAAAAAAAAAAAAAAGAUUUAAAAGAUCUAACAAUUUAGGAAUCUAACUCUUAUCUAAUAAUGGUCUUUGCAAAUUUCAAAUCCAUGAGCUUGCUUCAAGAAAGCAGUUAGAUAUCUGGAAAUCUUAAGUCAGUCCAGAAUAUGAACAAGACUAAUUUUCCUUGGCUUUUAAUUUCUUCAUUAGUUUAAGAUCCAAGGAACUGUGGGUUUUGUUCACUUGGUAGGAAAAAAAAAAGUUGCUUUUAAACCCUGCUUUACAAAAAAAAAUAAAAGCCCAGAGAUUUGCAGACAUAAUAAAAUUUAUUUAAAUUCCAUGCAUUACGGUAGCUACAAGUGUAGUCAUAUGAAACGGAAGGACAAUAACUUCUUCUGUCCAUACAAUGUAGCUGUAAGUGAAAUGAAUGGGAGUUCCACAGUUACAAAGAAACAAACAAAACCAAAAAAAAAGACCAAAAAAAAAACCAAAAAAAAAAAAAAAGACCAAAAAAAGGUAAAUCUCUUUCAAUUUUGAGUUAUCUGUGAAUUCAGACACAGUCACUAGACUGUAAACUUUUGGGGGAGAAGAUGGGCUCACCACAAUUGUACAACUGAAAAUGUUUAGUUUAAGACAGUCUGAAGAAGCUCUGAAGAUACCUUUUAAUAAUUACUACUAAUACUCUGGGAAAUGAAAAAAAUCCCUUAGCCUUCAUCCUAAUUGUUAGAAUCAGGACAGCAAUUGCAGACAGUCCACUUCCAAAGUGCAGCUAAAUAGGGUUUUAUUAUGCAGCUCCUUCAAGUUGUACUGAGUAAGCUUUACUUUGAACCAGUUUUGCUUUAAUUCUUCAAGAAAAACUUCACUGGUCCUCAUCAGCUUACAUUGCUUUUGAUAUGCAAAAAUUUACAGACUGUGCUUGAUUCUGACCCUCCCAUAUUUCGGUAUGUGCAAAUUCUUAGGGAUUUAAAUAGUCUGUCUCCCUCUCAGUUCAGACUGAUCUUUAAAACAGCAAGGAUUAUCCAGCCCUCUAAAUUAAAGACAGGGUGAACUGAGUAAUUUAUAUAACUGGCACUUUUUAAUUGGCCCAGUUCUCCCACAAAAUGCAGCUCUUAUAAAUACUAAUAGGCACUAUUGCCACAGAUUCUCUUAUUUUUGCAACUUUCACUGAUUUACUGGUUGUUAGCAUUUUCUGCAGUUAAGAAUUUAACAAUGCUGAAUUUUAUAAAGACACAAUACGUACUUCUAGCCUUCAAAAUUGACUUACUGUGUCUAGUAAUGAUGUUAAGUCAACCUAAAUUUGCUGAAGUUAUUAACAAAUGUAAAGCUAAUGAAGGUGCCACAUUUGCAUGAAUGUUUUUUUUUAAUUUUCAGAAUGCAUUUGACAAAGGGAAGGGGCAAACCUAAUUGUUUUAAUACAAACUUGGUUGAGUGCCCAAUUGCCUCAUUUAAAACUGUGUGUGUGGGGAGGCUGAGGAGUUUAGAAAAGUCCAAGUAACCAAAUAUCUGGGUUACUGGAGAGUUAAAAAGCUAAAUGCAACUGCGUUACAUCUGGAUAAAAAACAUUAUUCAAAAGCAAUUCGAAUACCGAAAAAGAUUUCAAAUUGAAUAGUUUAUUAACAUGGUAGUCAUCUUUGUAACAUGUGCACACACACUCGCACACUCUGAAUGA
This is a long non-coding RNA of Pseudopipra pipra, 7335 nucleotides long. RefSeq lists it as uncharacterized. Lineage: Eukaryota; Metazoa; Chordata; Aves; Passeriformes; Pipridae. The record is from RefSeq and is a predicted model, not a curated record. The transcript has 3 exons.